UGGUGCUAUCGAGUCCAGUGGUGUCUGAUGGUCCUAUCGAGGCCAGUGGUGUCUGAUGGUGCUAUCGAGGCCAGUGGUGUCUGAUGGUGCUAUCGAGGCCAGUGGUGUCUGAUGGUGCUAUCGAGUCCAGUGGUAUCUGAUGGUGCUAUCGAGGCCAGUGGUGUCUGAUGGUGCUAUCGAGGCCAGUGGUGUCUGAUGGUGCUAUCGAGUCCAGUGGUAUCUGAUGGUGCUAUCGAGUCCAGUGGUGUCUGAUGGUCCUACCGAGUCCAGUGGUGUCUGAUGGUCCUAUCGAGGCCAGUGGUGUCUGAUGGUCCUAUCGAGUCCAGUGGUGUCUGAUGGUCCUAUCGAGUCCAGUGGUGUCUGAUGGUGCUAUCGAGGCCAGCGGUGUCUGAUGGUCCUAUCGAGGCCAGCGGUGUCUGAUGGUGCUAUCGAGGCCAGUGGUGUCUGAUGGUCCUAUCGAGUCCAGUGGUGUCUGAUGGUCCUAUCGAGUCCAGUGGUGUCUGAUGGUGCUAUCGAGGCCAGCGGUGUCUGAUGGUGCUAUCGAGUCCAGUGGUGUCUGAUGGUGCUAUCGAAUCCAGUGGUGUCUGAUGGUGCUAUUGAGGCCAGUGGUGUCUGAUGGUGCUAUCGAGUCCAGUGGUGUCUGAUGGUGCUAUCGAGUCCAGUGGUGUCUGAUGGUGCUAUCGAGGCCAGUGGUGUCUGAUGGUCCUAUCGAGUCCAGUGGUGUCUGAUGGUCCUAUCGAGUCCAGUGGUGUCUGAUGGUCCUAUCGAGUCCAGUGAUGUCUGAUGGUGCUAUCGAGGCCAGCGGUGUCUGAUGGUGCUAUCUCUCUCUGUGUGUCUGCAGGGUUGUUAUUCUGCUGUGGUCGACUACUUUGAGCUCUAUAUAUAUGUGGCCGGAGCGCUGGCCAUAGUGGUGCUCACCAUUGAGCUGUUUGCCAUGGUCUUUGCCAUGUGUCUGUUCAGAGGGAUCCAGUAGGAUGCCUGACUGCUGUACCGCACGGAUGGGAGAUAGAAAAGGGAAAUCAGGAGGG
Long non-coding RNA from Salvelinus namaycush (lake trout), 1028 nucleotides. RefSeq lists it as uncharacterized. Lineage: Eukaryota; Metazoa; Chordata; Actinopteri; Salmoniformes; Salmonidae. The transcript is spliced from 2 exons. The record is from RefSeq and is a predicted model, not a curated record.